AGCUCAGUGUUAGAGCGUGUGCUUAGCAUGCACAAGGUCCUGGGUUCAGUCCCCAG
Molecule: transfer RNA, 56 nt
Filed under: Camelus ferus (Wild Bactrian camel)
Lineage: Eukaryota; Metazoa; Chordata; Mammalia; Artiodactyla; Camelidae
Rfam family: tRNA
About the family: Transfer RNA (tRNA) molecules are approximately 80 nucleotides in length. Their secondary structure includes four short double-helical elements and three loops (D, anti-codon, and T loops). Further hydrogen bonds mediate the characteristic L-shaped molecular structure. tRNAs have two regions of fundamental functional importance: the anti-codon, which is responsible for specific mRNA codon recognition, and the 3' end, to which the tRNAs corresponding amino acid is attached (by aminoacyl-tRNA synthetases). tRNAs cope with the degeneracy of the genetic code in two manners: having more than one tRNA (with a specific anti-codon) for a particular amino acid; and 'wobble' base-pairing, i.e. permitting non-standard base-pairing at the 3rd anti-codon position.
Source: Rfam by way of RNAcentral